Molecule: ribosomal RNA, 1346 nt
Filed under: uncultured bacterium
Lineage: Bacteria
Description: partial 16S ribosomal RNA
Rfam family: Bacterial small subunit ribosomal RNA
Source: RNAcentral
GACGAACUCUGGCGGCGUGCUUAACACAUGCAAGUCGAACGGAAAGGCCCUGCUUUUGUGGGGUGCUCGAGUGGCGAACGGGUGAGUAACACGUGAGUAACCUGCCCUUGACUUUGGGAUAACUUCAGGAAACUGGGGCUAAUACCGGAUAGGAGCUCCUGCUGCAUGGUGGGGGUUGGAAAGUUUCGGCGGUUGGGGAUGGACUCGCGGCUUAUCAGCUUGUUGGUGGGGUAGUGGCUUACCAAGGCUUUGACGGGUAGCCGGCCUGAGAGGGUGACCGGCCACAUUGGGACUGAGAUACGGCCCAGACUCCUACGGGAGGCAGCAGUGGGGAAUAUUGCACAAUGGGCGGAAGCCUGAUGCAGCAACGCCGCGUGCGGGAUGACGGCCUUCGGGUUGUAAACCGCUUUCGCCUGUGACGAAGCGUGAGUGACGGUAAUGGGUAAAGAAGCACCGGCUAACUACGUGCCAGCAGCCGCGGUGAUACGUAGGGUGCGAGCGUUGUCCGGAUUUAUUGGGCGUAAAGGGCUCGUAGGUGGUUGAUCGCGUCGGAAGUGUAAUCUUGGGGCUUAACCCUGAGCGUGCUUUCGAUACGGGUUGACUUGAGGAAGGUAGGGGAGAAUGGAAUUCCUGGUGGAGCGGUGGAAUGCGCAGAUAUCAGGAGGAACACCAGUGGCGAAGGCGGUUCUCUGGGCCUUUCCUGACGCUGAGGAGCGAAAGCGUGGGGAGCGAACAGGCUUAGAUACCCUGGUAGUCCACGCUGUAAACGGUGGGUACUAGGUGUGGGGUCCAUUCCACGGGUUCCGUGCCGUAGCUAACGCUUUAAGUACCCCGCCUGGGGAGUACGGCCGCAAGGCUAAAACUCAAAGGAAUUGACGGGGCCCCGCACAAGCGGCGGAGCAUGCGGAUUAAUUCGAUGCAACGCGUAGAACCUUACCUGGGUUUGACAUGGAUCGGGAGUGCUCAGAGAUGGGUGUGCCUCUUUUGGGGUCGGUUCACAGGUGGUGCAUGGCUGUCGUCAGCUCGUGUCGUGAGAUGUUGGGUUAAGUCCCGCAACGAGUGCAACCCUUGUUCACUGUUGCCAGCACGUUAUGGUGGGGACUCAGUGGAGACCGCCGGGGUCAACUCGGAGGAAGGUGGGGAUGACGUCAAGUCAUCAUGCCCCUUAUGUCCAGGGCUUCACGCAUGCUACAAUGGCUGGUACAGAGAGUGGCGAGCCUGUGAGGGUGAGCGAAUCUCGGAAAGCCGGUCUCAGUUCGGGUUGGGGUCUGCAACUCGACCUCAUGAAGUCGGAGUCGCUAGUAGUCGCAGAUCAGCAACGCUGCGGUGAAUACGUUCCCGGGGCU